Leptonychotes weddellii (Weddell seal) is the source of this 1832-nucleotide non-coding RNA. Lineage: Eukaryota; Metazoa; Chordata; Mammalia; Carnivora; Phocidae. The record is from RefSeq and is a predicted model, not a curated record.
GCCACCCAGGCGCCCCGAAUUGCUGGAUUCCUUAUGGGUGGUUUCUAGCUCUCAUAUAGAACUUAUUGGGAAUAGCUUCCCAUUCCUCUUACUUCUCCUUGAGCGUUCUGCCUGUACUUUGGACUAACACUGACUGAUGUAAGAUUUUUGGUUCUACCAUUUCUGAUGUAUCUGUAAGUUAUGGAUGCCUCCAUCACUGACUAGUGAGUACGUGACUACACAAACAAUAGUUUGGCUUAUGGACUCAAGAUCUUUUAUUGCCAUAGUGAACAUGCCAGCAUCGUGAAUUGGCCAAAAUGCUAUCCCAAGGCCAGGAUAUGAGAGAUCUAUCAGUCUACAUGUUCUCUUGCUUUGGAGCUAGGUAUCCUUGACUCACCUCAGCUGUGCAUUCCCCACUCCCACUCAUAAACCUUUUCCUUAGUACGAAUUAUUUUUCCUGUUAUUCAUUAGUAGCCUUUAUUCCAGAUUUGGUUUUCAUCUUUUACAGUUACUAAACCAAGGAGAAUUAACUGAAAGCCGGACAUGAGCAUGGACACUGACUCCUGGAAGAGCAGCUCUGUCUGAUCCCAGAGUGCACAUAGUGGGAACAGGAUGCUUCUGGCUCAUGGUCUGCCAGAACCAAAAUGAAUCUGUGAAGGACAGGACCCCGCGUCUGCCUCUGUUCAUCUUUCCUGACAUAGAAGAUGAAUGUGGGAGAGCUUCUCUUCAAACCACAUCUGAUCUAGACAAGGAAGAAAGCAGUGAAUGUGGGCUGGGUAACUGUACCUACCUCUCUUCCCACUACAAAAUUUUGGGAAGGACUUCUCCCAAAAGGGAAUUGGAUUAUGUGUUGGCUGAAAUUUCUUCAGUAUGACUGUUGAGAUGGGAUUUUCCUCUGAAGAAUUUUCAUCCCCGACUCAGCUGUCUUUUCACAUGGAUGAACUAAGUCCUGCCACCAACCAUAAAACUUCACCAAGAAGUUGAGCUUUCAAGAUGCCUUGUUGCUUUGGAGAAGGGAGUGAUGCCAGUUCUGCUGUAGCAUUCUCCCUUUAGCAACCUGAGUAAGAGACUCUGCCGCUGGGCUGCAAAAAAAUAAAUUACUUGAAUCCCUACUUGGCCCGGGCUGAGGUACUAUCUUGUCAUAUCCACUUCUACUUGGUCAGUUUGCUUUCUUUGUUUAUGGAAUAUACAGUAGCAUGUUAAAAGGUUUUUUGUUUUUUUAAAGUUAAAUAUCACAUGAUUCAGAGCUUCAGUUGUUUUCCCUUUAAAUAAACAAGACAGCCCAGUCAGUUCUUUGGUUCCUUGUUUUGGACAAAACCUGUUUACUUAGAGAGGAGAUCAAGAAAAUAGUUCAGGCUUUCCCUUUAAGAGAGGGCACUGAUUUACCCUUUGGAUUCCAUGCAGGUAAAACUGAGCCCAGGAGUCUUGAGGAACAGAACAUCUUCAUCUCUAACUAGCAAACCUAGAUAGUAGUUAUCAUAGUACCGCUCUGUCGUCACCAGAAGGGACCAUGUCUGAGUCUGGAAAAUGGCAAUAAUAACAUACUUUUGAAUUUUUCCAGAGAGUUAAAAAAAACAAAAACAUGAGAAAUGUGCUUCUGUUAAGAGUAGGCACUCUUGCUAUCAUCCUGUCUCUACAGCUGUUAGAGAAUAUCUGAUUAAUCAUUGGUGAGAAGAAGAGUGUUCCAGAGAUCACUUACUAGUAGAAAAUCAUGGCUGUCAGAGAAUUUUCACUUUAUUUAAAAUGAACCUCAUGCUGACACAUACAUACCAUGCACACAGUGGCAUAUUCUAAACAGAUAACAGGAAAGAAUUAACUGCUGUAAUAAAUAAAUAUAGUUCUUAAUUUGUUAA